Molecule: long non-coding RNA, 872 nt
Filed under: Homo sapiens (human)
Lineage: Eukaryota; Metazoa; Chordata; Mammalia; Primates; Hominidae
Description: LHRI_LNC286.1
Source: RNAcentral
UGGUUACAUCAUAACUGCAGGAACCUGGUUUCAUCCAUCUUCAGCCACUCAGAUAAAGAAUGCUCUUGGAAGGCAAGAAGCAGUGACAAUCUGUUCACUUGGUAACAUCCUCUGAAGAGAUCUGGGUCAGAGACAAGUUCUUGCUCUGUUGCCCAGCCUGGAGCGCAGUGGCGUGAUCAUGGCUCACUGCAGCCUUAACCUUCUGGGCUUAAGUGAUCGUCCUGUCUCAGUCCCCCAAGUAGCUGGGACUACAGUUCUCUAUCCUGCAAGUAAUGAAGCAUCCUCUGGAGGAGCAUCAAAGCAGAGAGAAAGCACCCAGCCAUCCUGAGAACCACAUCACUCUCUCCACCAGUCAUUCAGCUAUGCCUCUCAAUCAUCAGAGUUACGAGUCUGCAAAUUGGAGGCUUCAAAUGUCUUUAACUGCUUAGAAUAUGUGGGUGAGGUAUAAUUUCGCUUUAUUUAGCUUAUUUACUAUCAAAAUAAGCAAGUUAGAUUUAUAGAAAAUAACUAGGAUCUCUGAGGCAUGAAGCAGGGUAUCAAAUACAGGCAGACUUCGGAGAUGUCGUGGGCUCGGUUCCAGAUCACCACAGUAAAGCAAUGUCACAUGAAUUUGUUGGUGUCCCAGUGCAUAUAAAGUUAUGUUGACAAUACUGCAGUCUAGUAACUGUGCAAUAGCAUCAUGUCUAAAAUAAUUUAUAUAACUUAAUUUAAAAAUACCUUCUGUUAAAAAAUGCUAACGAUCAUCAGAGCCUUCAGUGACUUUCACUCUUUUUGCUGGUGGAGGGUCUUGUUUUGAUGUUGAUGGUUGCUGACUGAUCAGGGUGUUGGUUAUGGCAAUUUCCUAAAAUAAAACAACGAUGAAAUUGGCUGCA